AAGACUAUACUUUCAGGGGUCAUUUCUAUAGUUGUCAUAAUGUGACCAUUUUAACAAACACAAACUAUUUCAAAACAAAAUUAUAUAUGUCAGUUAUGGCAGCUUUAAGACCUUGGAGUUGU
Molecule: small nucleolar RNA, 122 nt
Organism: Ochotona princeps (American pika)
Lineage: Eukaryota; Metazoa; Chordata; Mammalia; Lagomorpha; Ochotonidae
Gene: U3
Rfam family: Small nucleolar RNA U3
About the family: Small nucleolar RNAs (snoRNAs) are involved in the processing and modification of rRNA in the nucleolus. There are two main classes of snoRNAs: the box C/D class, and the box H/ACA class. U3 snoRNA is a member of the box C/D class.
Source: Ensembl